Molecule: ribosomal RNA, 253 nt
Filed under: uncultured bacterium
Lineage: Bacteria
Description: partial 16S ribosomal RNA
Rfam family: Bacterial small subunit ribosomal RNA
Source: RNAcentral
UACGUCGGUGGCAAGCGUUGUCCGGCUUUACUGGGCGUAAAGGAUGCGUCGGCGGACAUUUAAGUCAGAUGUGAAAUACCCGAGCUUAACUUGGGUGCUGCAUUUGAAACUGGGUGUCUAGAGUGCAGGAGAGGUAAGUGGAAUUCCUAGUGUAGCGGUGAAAUGCGUAGAGAUUAGGAAGAACACCAGUGGCGAAGGCGACUUACUGGACUGUAACUGACGCUGAGGCAUGAAAGCGUGGGGAGCAAACAGG